Molecule: ribosomal RNA, 571 nt
Filed under: Trypanosoma congolense type riverine/forest
Lineage: Eukaryota; Euglenozoa; Kinetoplastea; Trypanosomatida; Trypanosomatidae
Description: partial large subunit ribosomal RNA
Rfam family: Eukaryotic large subunit ribosomal RNA
Source: RNAcentral
GUGAGAACCUCUUCUCGUACUGAAAGGGAGAUGCGAAUGCAUCUGUGGCGUGCGCUUUUUUCUUUUGCGGAUUCUAUGGCCCAACGCCGGCCGGCCCCGUUUUGUUGUGGGCUGCGCGUGAGUGUGCCUGUUUGGACCCGAAAGGUGGUGAACUAUGCCUGAACAAGGUGAAGCCCGGGGAAACCCCGGUGGAGGCCUGUAGCGAUGCUGACGUGCAAAUCGCUCGUACGAUUUGGGUAUCGGAGCGAAAGACUCAUCGAACCACCUAGUAGCUGGUUCACGUCGAAGUUUCCCUCAGGAUAGCUGGUGCUCGUGUCCGGCAUGCUUUUUCUGAAAAAGAGAGAAGCUGCCCGCGUCCCACCGUGUUUGUGUGUGGCGUGAUACGAAAAGUAUUGUGCGGUAAAGCAAAUGAUUAGAGGCAUUGGUGUUCUUGUAAUAUCGACCUAUUCUCAAACUUUAAAUGUGCAAGAAGCGCGGCCUUAGCCAUUUUUUAUAGCAAGGCCGGCAGACAAGAAUUGAGGCACCAAGUGGGCCUUCUUCGGUAAGCGGAGCAGGCGAUGCGGAAUGAACC